AACUCCAACCCCUGUGACAUACCACUUGUUGCCUCGGCGGAUCAGCCCGCUCCCGGUAAAACGGGACGGCCCGCCAGAGGACCCCUAAACUCUGUUUCUAUAUGUAACUUCUGAGUAAAACCAUAAAUAAAUCAAAACUUUCAACAACGGAUCUCUUGGUUCUGGCAUCGAUGAAGAACGCAGCAAAAUGCGAUAAGUAAUGUGAAUUGCAGAAUUCAGUGAAUCAUCGAAUCUUUGAACGCACAUUGCGCCCGCCAGUAUUCUGGCGGGCAUGCCUGUUCGAGCGUCAUUUCAACCCUCAAGCACAGCUUGGUGUUGGGACUCGCGUUAAUUCGCGUUCCUCAAAUUGAUUGGCGGUCACGUCGAGCUUCCAUAGCGUAGUAGUAAAACCCUCGUUACUGGUAAUCGUCGCGGCCACGCCGUUAAACCCCAACUUCUGAAUGUUGACCUCGGAUCAGGUAGGAAUACCCGCUGAACUUAAGCAUAUCAA
Molecule: ribosomal RNA, 490 nt
Filed under: Fusarium oxysporum
Lineage: Eukaryota; Fungi; Ascomycota; Sordariomycetes; Hypocreales; Nectriaceae
Description: eukaryotic LSU rRNA
Rfam family: 5.8S ribosomal RNA (bases 136-289)
Source: RNAcentral